This 434-nucleotide ribosomal RNA is filed under the name uncultured Lachnospiraceae bacterium. RNAcentral's name for it is "partial 16S ribosomal RNA". It matches the Rfam family "Bacterial small subunit ribosomal RNA", at positions 341 to 792 of the family's 1533-position model. Lineage: Bacteria; Bacillati; Bacillota; Clostridia; Lachnospirales; Lachnospiraceae. The record is from RNAcentral.
ACGGAAGGCAGCAGUGGGGAAUAUUGCACAAUGGGGGAAACCCUGAUGCAGCGACGCCGCGUGAGUGAAGAAGUUAUUCGUAAUGUAAAGCUCUAUCAGCAGGGAAGAAAAUGACGGUACCUGACUAAGAAGCCCCGGCUAACUACGUGCCAGCAGCCGCGGUAAUACGUAGGGGGCAAGCGUUAUCCGGAUUUACUGGAUGUAAAGGGAGCGUAGACGGUCUGGCAAGUCUGAUGUGAAAGGCAGGGGCUCAACUCCUGGACUGCAUUGGAAACUGUCAGUCUUGAGUGUCGGAGAGGUAAGCGGAAUUCCUAGUGUAGCGGUGAAAUGCGUAGAUAUUAGGAGGAACACCAGUGGCGAAGGCGGCUUACUGGACGAUAACUGACGUUGAGGCUCGAAAGCGUGGGGAGCAAACAGGAUUAGAUACCCUGGUA